RNAcentral lists this ribosomal RNA (478 nucleotides) under uncultured bacterium. RNAcentral's name for it is "bacterial SSU rRNA". It matches the Rfam family "Bacterial small subunit ribosomal RNA", at positions 31 to 507 of the family's 1533-position model. The record is from RNAcentral.
GAACGUUGGCGGCGUGCUUAAUACAUGCAAGUCAACUGAAGCACCGGUAGUAAUACUGGUGUGGAGGUGGCGCACGGGUGAGUAACACGUAGGUAAUCUGCCUUCAGGUCUGACAUAACCCCGAGAAAUCGGGGCUAAUAGCAGAUGAUGCAGCGGCUUGACAUCAAGACAGUUGUUAAAGCUUCGGCGCCCGAAGAUGAGCCUGCGUCUGAUUAGCUAGUUGGCGGAGUAAUAGCCCACCAAGGCGACGAUCAGUAGCUGGGUCUGAGAGGAUGAUCAGCCACACUGGAACUGAGACACGGUCCAGACUCCUACGGGAGGCAGCAGUAAGGAAUAUUGCUCAAUGGGAGAAAUCCUGAAGCAGCAACGCCGCGUGAGGGAUGAAGGGCUUUUGCUCGUAAACCUCUGUAGUGAGGGAAAAAUUUCCAUUCUAUGGAAUAUGAUGGUACCUCAAAAGUAAGCCCCGGCUAACUACGUG